UAACCCGAGCGAGUAUUCUCCAACAACGUAGCGGCCUCGUCUACUUCGGUAUUGAAAACAAAGCUUGGAAAUGUAGUUGUUAUGUCUCUGCAUGGUUUCAUGUAACAAAAUGGAUGAGGUUCUGGUUGAGUAUGGGAGGGUCAUUACUCUCAAUAAUGAUGGAUUACGGGAGACAAAGCUCUUCCAUUCAUGCAUAUCUAUCUUUCCGUCCUGGUUAGUGUCGGCAUCCAUGAAAGUCUGCUCAAAAUCACCAUGUCCGAACACAUACAAAUGUUAACAUUAUCUAUGGUUUCAUGUAUGAAUAAAUACUACUUGGAGUCUCGAAUACAA
Molecule: long non-coding RNA, 330 nt
Organism: Gossypium arboreum
Lineage: Eukaryota; Viridiplantae; Streptophyta; Magnoliopsida; Malvales; Malvaceae
Exons: 2
Source: RefSeq, a predicted model, not a curated record